RNAcentral lists this ribosomal RNA (316 nucleotides) under Kocuria sp. RNM-0-5-7-Y. RNAcentral's name for it is "bacterial SSU rRNA". It matches the Rfam family "Bacterial small subunit ribosomal RNA", at positions 54 to 354 of the family's 1533-position model. The record is from RNAcentral. Lineage: Bacteria; Bacillati; Actinomycetota; Actinomycetes; Micrococcales; Micrococcaceae.
GCGCGUCUUACCAUGCNAGUCGAACGCUGAAGCUCCAGCUUGCUGGGGUGGAUGAGUGGCGAACGGGUGAGUAAUACGUGAGUAACCUGCCCUUGACUCUGGGAUAAGCCUGGGAAACCGGGUCUAAUACUGGAUACGACGUCCCAUCGCAUGGUGGGGUGUGGAAAGGGUUUUACUGGUUUUGGAUGGGCUCACGGCCUAUCAGCUUGUUGGUGGGGUAAUGGCCUACCAAGGCGACGACGGGUAGCCGGCCUGAGAGGGUGACCGGCCACACUGGGACUGAGACACGGCCCAGACUCCUACGGGAGGCAGCAGA